CCUACGGGAGGCAGCAGUGAGGAAUAUUGGUCAAUGGCCGGAAGGCUGAACCAGCCAUGCCGCGUGAAGGUCAGUGCCCUAUGGGCGUUAAACUUCUUUUGUGCGGGAGCAAUAAUGGUCACGUGUGGCCAGACGAGAGCACCGUACGAAUAAGCAUCAGCUAACACCGUGCCAGCAGCCGCGGUAAUACCGGGGAUGCAAGCGUUUUCCGGAUUUUUUGGGUUUAAAGGGGGCGUAGGCUGUGAGGUAAGUCAGAGGUGAAAUGCCUCCGCUCAACGGGGUGAAGUGCCAUUGAUACUGCCUGGCUGGAGUGCGGAUGCCGUAGGAGGAAUGUGUGGUGUAGCGGUGAAAUGCAUAGAUAUCACACAGAACACCGAUUGCGAAGGCAUCUCACGAAUCCGCGAUUGACGCUGAUGCACGAAAGCGUGGGUAUCAAACAGGAUUAGAUACCCGAGUAGUC
Molecule: ribosomal RNA, 460 nt
Filed under: uncultured bacterium
Lineage: Bacteria
Description: partial 16S ribosomal RNA
Rfam family: Bacterial small subunit ribosomal RNA
Source: RNAcentral